This 907-nucleotide ribosomal RNA is filed under the name Nematostoma parasiticum. RNAcentral's name for it is "partial large subunit ribosomal RNA". It matches the Rfam family "Eukaryotic large subunit ribosomal RNA", at positions 36 to 961 of the family's 3401-position model. The record is from RNAcentral. Lineage: Eukaryota; Fungi; Ascomycota; Dothideomycetes; Pseudoperisporiaceae.
UAGCAUAUCAAUAAGCGGAGGAAAAGAAACCAACAGGGAUUGCCCUAGUAACGGCGAGUGAAGCGGCAACAGCUCAAAUUUGAAAUCUGGCUCUUUCAGGGUCCGAGUUGUAAUUUGCAGAGGGCGCUUUGGCGUUGGCAGCGGUUCAAGUUCCUUGGAACAGGACGUCACAGAGGGUGAGAAUCCCGUACGUGGUCGCUAACCUUCGCCGUGUAAAGCCCCUUCGACGAGUCGAGUUGUUUGGGAAUGCAGCUCUAAAUGGGAGGUAAAUUUCUUCUAAAGCUAAAUACUGGCCAGAGACCGAUAGCGCACAAGUAGAGUGAUCGAAAGAUGAAAAGCACUUUGGAAAGAGAGUCAAACAGCACGUGAAAUUGUUGAAAGGGAAGCGCUUGCAGCCAGACUUGCCUGUAGUUGCUCAUCCGGGCUUUUGCCCGGUGCACUCUUCUGCGGGCAGGCCAGCAUCAGUUUGGGCGGUUGGAUAAAGGUCUCUGUCAUGUACCUCUCUUCGGGGAGGCCUUAUAGGGGAGACGACAUGCAACCAGCCUGGACUGAGGUCCGCGCAUUUGCUAGGAUGCUGGCGUAAUGGCUGUAAGCGGCCCGUCUUGAAACACGGACCAAGGAGUCUAACAUCUAUGCGAGUGUUUGGGUGUCAAGCCCGAGCGCGUAAUGAAAGUGAACGGAGGUGGGACCCCAUUAGGGUGCACCAUCGACCGAUCCUGAUGUCUUCGGAUGGAUUUGAGUAAGAGCAUGGCUGUUGGGACCCGAAAGAUGGUGAACUAUGCUUGAAUAGGGUGAAGCCAGAGGAAACUCUGGUGGAGGCUCGCAGCGGUUCUGACGUGCAAAUCGAUCGUCAAAUUUGGGCAUAGGGGCGAAAGACUAAUCGAACUAUCUAGUAGCUGGUUCCUGC